CCUACGGGUGGCAGCAGUGAGGAAUAUUGGUCAAUGGGCGCGAGCCUGAACCAGCCAAGUAGCGUGAAGGAUGACUGCCCUACGGGUUGUAAACUUCUUUUAUCAAGGAAUAAAAUGAGGCACGUGUGCCUUUUUGUAUGUACUUUAUGAAUAAGGAUCGGCUAACUCCGUGCCAGUAGCCGCGGUAAUACGGAGGAUCCGAGCGUUAUCCGGAUUUAUUGGGUUUAAAGGGAGCGUAGAUGGGUUGUUAAGUCAGUUGUGAAAGUGUGCGGCUCAACCGUAAAAGUGCAAUUGAUACUGGCAGUCUUGAGUAGAGUUGAGGUAGGCGGAAUUCGUGGUGUAGCGGUGAAAUGCUUAGAUAUCACGAAGAACUCCGAUUGCGAAGGCAGCUUACUAAAGUGGAACUGACAUUGAUGCACGAAAGCGUGGGUAUCAAACAGGAUUAGAUACCCGAGUAGUC
This 460-nucleotide ribosomal RNA is filed under the name uncultured bacterium. RNAcentral's name for it is "partial 16S ribosomal RNA". It matches the Rfam family "Bacterial small subunit ribosomal RNA", at positions 338 to 795 of the family's 1533-position model. The record is from RNAcentral.